CCUACGGGAGGCAGCAGUGGGGAAUAUUGCACAAUGGGGGAAACCCUGAUGCAGCGACGCCGCGUGAGUGAAGAAGUAUUUCGGUACGUAAAGCUCUAUCAGCAGGGAAGAAAAUGACGGUACCUGACUAAGAAGCCCCGGCUAACUACGUGCCAGCAGCCGCGGUAAUACGUAGGGGGCAAGCGUUAUCCGGAUUUACUGGGUGUAAAGGGAGCGUAGACGGCAGCGCAAGUCUGGAGUGAAAUCCCAUGGCUUAACCAUGGAACUGCUUUGGAAACUGUGCAGCUAGAGUGCAGGAGAGGUAAGCGGAAUUCCCAGUGUAGCGGUGAAAUGCGUAGAUAUUAGGAGGAACACCAGUGGCGAAGGCGGCUUACUGGACUGUAACUGACGUUGAGGCUCGAAAGCGUGGGGAGCAAACAGGAUUAGAUACCCGGGUAGUC
This 440-nucleotide ribosomal RNA is filed under the name uncultured bacterium. Its description in RNAcentral is "partial 16S ribosomal RNA". It matches the Rfam family "Bacterial small subunit ribosomal RNA", at positions 338 to 795 of the family's 1533-position model. The record is from RNAcentral.